AGUGAACGCUGGCGGCGUGCUUAAUACAUGCAAGUCGAACGAGGAAGUCCUAGCUUGCUAGGAUGGAUUAGUGGCGCACGGGUGAGUAAUAUAUAGGUAAUCUGCCUUGCACUGAGGAACAACAGUUGGAAACGAUUGCUAAUACCUCAUACUCCAACUUUACAUAAGUUAAGUUGGGAAAGUCUUUUCGGUGCAGGAUGAGACUAUAUCGUAUCAGCUAGUUGGUAAGGUAAUGGCUUACCAAGGCUAUGACGCGUAACUGGUCUGAGAGGAUGAUCAGUCACAUUGGAAAUGAGACACGGUCCAAAAUCCUACGGGAGGCAGCAGUAAGGGAUAUUGUGCAAUGGGGGAAACCCUGACGCAGCAACGCCGCGUGGAGGAUGACACUUUUCGGAGCGUAAACUCCUUUUGUUAGGGAAGAAUAAUGACGGUACCUAACGAAUAAGCACCGGCUAACUCCGUG
RNAcentral lists this ribosomal RNA (463 nucleotides) under uncultured bacterium. RNAcentral describes it as "partial 16S ribosomal RNA". It matches the Rfam family "Bacterial small subunit ribosomal RNA", at positions 29 to 507 of the family's 1533-position model. The record is from RNAcentral.